RNAcentral lists this ribosomal RNA (406 nucleotides) under uncultured bacterium. Its description in RNAcentral is "partial 16S ribosomal RNA". It matches the Rfam family "Bacterial small subunit ribosomal RNA", at positions 30 to 526 of the family's 1533-position model. The record is from RNAcentral.
AUUGAACGCUGGCGGCAGGCCUAACACAUGCAAGUCGAACGAGUGGCGGACGGGUGUGUAAUGUCUGGGAAACUGCCUGAUGGAGGGGGAUACCUACUGGAAACGGUAGCUAAUACCGCAUACCUUCCGAUGUGCCCAGAUGGGCUUAGCUAGUUGGUGGGGUAACGGCUUACCACGGCGACGAUCCCUAGCUGGUCUGAGAGGAUGACCAGCCAAACUGGAACUGAGACACGGUCCAGACUCCUACGGGAGGCAGCAGUGGGGAAUAUUGCGCAAUGGGCGCAAGCCUGAGGCAGCCAUGCCGCGUGUGUGAAGAAGGCCUUCGGGUUGUAAAGUACUGUCAGCGGGGAGGCGUUACCCGCUGAGGAAGCACCGGCUAACUCCGUGCCAGCCGCCGCGGUAAUUC